RNAcentral lists this ribosomal RNA (166 nucleotides) under Phaeococcomycetaceae sp. RNAcentral describes it as "partial large subunit ribosomal RNA". It matches the Rfam family "Eukaryotic large subunit ribosomal RNA", at positions 99 to 261 of the family's 3401-position model. Lineage: Eukaryota; Fungi; Ascomycota; Arthoniomycetes; Lichenostigmatales; Phaeococcomycetaceae. The record is from RNAcentral.
CGGCAAUAGCUCAAAUUUGAAAUCUGGCCUCUUCGAGGUCCGAGUUGUAAUUUGUAGAGGAUGCUUUGGCGUUGGGCCCGUCCUAGGUUCCUUGGAACAGGACGUCAUAGAGGGUGAGAACCCCGUCUUCGUUCGGGAUUCCUUCGCCGUGUAAAGCUCCUUCGAC